GAUGAACGCUGGCGGCGUGCCUAAUACAUGCAAGUCGAGCGAACAGACGAGGAGCUUGCUCCUUUGACGUUAGCGGCGGACGGGUGAGUAACACGUGGAUAACCUACCUAUAAGACUGGGAUAACUUCGGGAAACCGGAGCUAAUACCGGAUAACAUGUUGAACCGCAUGGUUCAACAGUGAAAGACGGUCUUGCUGUCACUUAUAGAUGGAUCCGCGCCGCAUUAGCUAGUUGGUAAGGUAACGGCUUACCAAGGCAACGAUGCGUAGCCGACCUGAGAGGGUGAUCGGCCACACUGGAACGUAGACACGGUCCAGACUCCUACGGGAGGCAGCAGUAGGGAAUCUUCCGCGAUGGGCGAAAGCCUGACGGAGCAACGCCGCGUGAGUGAAGAAGGUCUUCGGAUCGUAAAACUCUGUUAUUAGGGAAGAACAAAUGUGUAAGUAACUAUGCACGUCUUGACGGUACCUAAUCAGAAAGCCACGGCUAACUACGUG
RNAcentral lists this ribosomal RNA (497 nucleotides) under uncultured bacterium. RNAcentral describes it as "partial 16S ribosomal RNA". It matches the Rfam family "Bacterial small subunit ribosomal RNA", at positions 28 to 507 of the family's 1533-position model. The record is from RNAcentral.